GAUGAACGCUGGCGGCGUGCCUAAUACAUGCAAGUCGAGCGAACGGACGAGAAGCUUGCUUCUCUGAUGUUAGCGGCGGACGGGUGAGUAACACGUGGAUAACCUACCUAUAAGACUGGGAUAACUUCGGGAAACCGGAGCUAAUACCGGAUAAUAUUUUGAACCGCAUGGUUCAAAAGUGAAAGACGGUCUUGCUGUCACUUAUAGAUGGAUCCGCGCUGCAUUAGCUAGUUGGUAAGGUAACGGCUUACCAAGGCAACGAUGCAUAGCCGACCUGAGAGGAUGAUAGGCCACACUGGAACUGAGACACGGUCCUGACUCCUACGGGAGGCAGCAGUAGGGAAUCUGCCACAAUGGGCGAAAGCCUGACGGAGCAACGCCGCGUGAGUGAUGAAGGGCUUCGGAUCGUAAAACUCUGUUAUUAGGGAAGAACAUAUGUGUAAGUAACUAUGCACAUCGUGACGGUACCUAAUCAGAAAGCCACGGCUAACUACGUG
This 497-nucleotide ribosomal RNA is filed under the name uncultured bacterium. RNAcentral describes it as "partial 16S ribosomal RNA". It matches the Rfam family "Bacterial small subunit ribosomal RNA", at positions 28 to 507 of the family's 1533-position model. The record is from RNAcentral.